AUAUUCUCGGACUUGGUCAAGGGACCAUUCCAAGAUCUAUCCUACAUGCCCUGAUCGGAGACGCUAAGCUCCCGUGGUUGUGGCCCCAGUCACAAACAUUAUAAUAGCGAGGAUAGGGCUAACAUGGAAGUCAACGCUUCCACACUUCUACCAAACCCUAGCAACCACAAAAUACAAAGGACUCAAACUCCUAUUUAGCGCCUUAGUAAAUAGAAAUCUCCCAAUCAAACCCAUAACACCGAUAGAUCUUAACGGACAUCGCUGACCAAUGAGGCUCCACCCCAUGAUCCAACAAACAUACAAGGAGGAGGGGCAAGAUCAAGAUGGAGGGGCUCAACUCCUAGGCCCAUCCCCUAUCUCUUCUGCCAAUACGACUACCAUCCACCUAAAUCCUGAAGCAGGUACCUUCGGACAUGGACCUUUCGAACUUGAGUCAAAAUCACUGUAUGAAGAAACACAAGGGGAACGAAGGAUGGAACAGAGCCGAAGCUGUGCGCAAGGGAGCUUCGGCAUGAUGACAGGAAAAGGAAACCGACUUAAAGAGGAAAAGGCUAUCUAGACCCCGAUUAAUUACUAUAGAGUUAUUAUCAAAUGCAAGGGGCCUGGAUGUAAUUUUACAUGGGCUACGACCCGUGCCUAUAAAUAGAUGAACAGUACUACGCUAACUGGGAAUUUGCUUUUGCGCCACACUUGUACCUUUUACUUCUUGCAAGCCGAAGGUACACUUGUAAUAAAUUAUUAUCUUUAUUUAUUCAUGAUAAUAACACAAAAAUAAUACAAUAAUGAUAACAUAUUUAA
Zea mays is the source of this 798-nucleotide long non-coding RNA. RefSeq lists it as uncharacterized. The transcript is spliced from 2 exons. NCBI's taxonomy places the organism in Eukaryota, Viridiplantae, Streptophyta, Magnoliopsida, Poales, Poaceae. The record is from RefSeq and is a predicted model, not a curated record.